This 401-nucleotide non-coding RNA is filed under the name Pongo abelii (Sumatran orangutan). The record is from RNAcentral. Lineage: Eukaryota; Metazoa; Chordata; Mammalia; Primates; Hominidae.
CAGAUGCUCAUCUUGCUGGCUGUGUGUCUCCAGUAUCUUCUGGAGAGGGAAAGAAGAAACCAUGUCUAGACAAGGUGCUGGAAAGACCCAGGGAAGACAUAGGUGAGCUAAGAAAGCAGUAGAAACUGGGUAAUUAAAAGUCAGCAUAAUGGCUGGAAACUUGUUCAAGGAGAUGUAAAAAGAAAGAAAAACCAAAAGAGAGACUGUGUAGAUGAACUUUGUCUAUUUACAAUUUUGUCUAAGGCUAAAUCUGUAGGCUGGUCCCACCCCGCAUGUUAUCUAAGUUGUUCAUAUACCAAUACUAAGAGCUACUGAAAUUCUUCCAUAAAAAUGAAAAUCAUUUCCCUUUUGAUUUGCUAGUUUUUCCUCUUGGUAAAUAAAGAUUCACUUUUUAGUAAUAA